RNAcentral lists this ribosomal RNA (402 nucleotides) under uncultured bacterium. RNAcentral describes it as "bacterial SSU rRNA". It matches the Rfam family "Bacterial small subunit ribosomal RNA", at positions 29 to 416 of the family's 1533-position model. The record is from RNAcentral.
AACGAACGCUGGCGGCGUGCCUAACACAUGCAAGUCGCACGAGAAAAGGGUAGCAAUACUCUGAGUAAAGUGGCGCACGGGUGAGUAACACGUAGGUAACCUACCUCUAAGACCGGGAUAACUUGUCGAAAGACGGGCUAAUACCAGAUAAGACCACAGUCCUUGCGGGGACCGGGGUCAAAGGUGGCCUCUACACGUAAGCUAUCACUUAGAGAUGGGCCUGCGCACCAUUAGCUAGNGGUGGGUAACGGCCACCAAGGCAAGAUGGUUAGCUGGUCUGAGAGGAUGAUCAGCCACACUGGGACUGAGACACGGCCCAGACUCCUACGGGAGGCAGCAGUGGGGAAUCUUGCGCAAUGGGCGAAAGCCUGACGCAGCAACGCCGCGUGGGUGAUGAAGGCC